CCUACGGGUGGCAGCAGUGGGGAAUAUUGGGCAAUGGACGCAAGCCUGACCCAGCAACGCCGCGUGAAGGAAGAAGGCUUUCGGGUUGUAAACUUCUUUUCUGAGGGACGUAGAAAGUGACGGUACCUCAGUAAUAAACCACGGAUAACUACGUGCAAGCAGCCGCUGCAAUACGUAGGUGGCAAGCGUUAUCCGGAUUUGUUGGUUGUAAAGGGCGUGUGGGCGGGAAAGCAAGUCAGAUGUGAAAACUCAGGGCUCAACCCUGAGAUUGCAUUUGAAACUGUUUUUCUUGAGUGCUGGAGAGGCAAGCGGAAUUCCGGGUGUAGCGGUGAAAUGCGUAGAUAUACGGAGGAACACCAGUGGCGAAGGCGGAUUGCUGGACAGUAACUGACGCUGAGGCGCGAAAGCGUGGGGAGCAAACAGGAUUAGAUACCCGAGUAGUC
This 443-nucleotide ribosomal RNA is filed under the name uncultured bacterium. RNAcentral's name for it is "partial 16S ribosomal RNA". It matches the Rfam family "Bacterial small subunit ribosomal RNA", at positions 338 to 795 of the family's 1533-position model. The record is from RNAcentral.